RNAcentral lists this ribosomal RNA (411 nucleotides) under uncultured Actinomycetes bacterium. RNAcentral's name for it is "bacterial SSU rRNA". It matches the Rfam family "Bacterial small subunit ribosomal RNA", at positions 9 to 420 of the family's 1533-position model. The record is from RNAcentral. Lineage: Bacteria; Bacillati; Actinomycetota; Actinomycetes.
GAGUUUGAUCAUGGCUCAGGACGAACGCUGGCGGCGUGCUUAACACAUGCAAGUCGAACGGUGAAGCCCAGCUUGCUGGGUGGAUCAGUGGCGAACGGGUGAGUAACACGUGAGUAACCUGCCCCUGACUUUGGGAUAACUCCGGGAAACCGGGGCUAAUACCGGAUAUGAGCCCUUGCUGCAUGGUGGGGGUUGGAAAGAUUUAUCGGUUGGGGAUGGGCUCGCGGCCUAUCAGCUCGUUGGUGGGGUGAUGGCCUACCAAGGCGACGACGGGUAGCCGGCCUGAGAGGGCGACCGGCCACACUGGGACUGAGACACGGCCCAGACUCCUACGGGAGGCAGCAGUGGGGAAUAUUGCACAAUGGGCGCAAGCCUGAUGCAGCGACGCCGCGUGAGGGAUGACGGCCUCGG